CCUACGGGUGUGCAGCAGUGGGGAAUAUUGGACAAUGGGCGAAAGCCUGAUCCAGCCAUGCCGCGUGUGUGAAGAAGGCCUUCGGGUUGUAAAGCACUUUCAGUGGGGAAGAAAGCCUUGGGGCUAAUACCCUCGAGGAAGGACAUCACCCACAGAAGAAGCACCGGCUAACUCCGUGCCAGCAGCCGCGGUAAUACGGAGGGUGCGAGCGUUAAUCGGAAUUACUGGGCGUAAAGCGCGCGUAGGCGGUCUGAUAAGCCGGUUGUGAAAGCCCCGGGCUCAACCUGGGAACGGCAUCCGGAACUGUCAGGCUAGAGUGCAGGAGAGGAAGGUAGAAUUCCCGGUGUAGCGGUGAAAUGCGUAGAGAUCGGGAGGAAUACCAGUGGCGAAGGCGGCCUUCUGGACUGACACUGACGCUGAGGUGCGAAAGCGUGGGUAGCAAACAGGAUUAGAUACCCUGGUAGUC
This 466-nucleotide ribosomal RNA is filed under the name Vreelandella stevensii. RNAcentral describes it as "partial 16S ribosomal RNA". It matches the Rfam family "Bacterial small subunit ribosomal RNA", at positions 338 to 795 of the family's 1533-position model. Lineage: Bacteria; Pseudomonadati; Pseudomonadota; Gammaproteobacteria; Oceanospirillales; Halomonadaceae. The record is from RNAcentral.